AGAGUUUGAUCAUGGCUCAGAAUCAACGCUGGCGGCGCGCUUAACACAUGCAAGUCGAACGGGAAAGUGGAGCAAUCCAUGAGUACAGUGGCGUACGGGUGAGUAACACGUGGGUAUCUAACUCUUAGUGGGGAAUAACGCUGGGAAACCGGCGCUAAUACCGCAUAAGCUNGAGAGAGGAAAGCAGCAAUGCGCUGAGAGAGGAGCCCGCGGCCGAUUAGCUAGUUGGUAGGGUAAAAGCCUACCAAGGCAGAGAUCGGUAGCCGGCCUGAGAGGGCACACGGCCACACUGGCACUGAAACACGGGCCAGACUCCUACGGGAGGCAGCAGUGGGGAAUCUUGCACAAUGGGGGCAACCCUGAUGCAGCGACGCCGCGUGAGCGAUGAAGCCCUUCGGGGUGUAAAGCUCUUUCGUCAGGGGAGAUUAUGACGGUACUUGGAGAAGGCCUGNGGCUAAUUAANA
RNAcentral lists this ribosomal RNA (464 nucleotides) under uncultured bacterium Riz105. RNAcentral's name for it is "bacterial SSU rRNA". It matches the Rfam family "Bacterial small subunit ribosomal RNA", at positions 8 to 506 of the family's 1533-position model. The record is from RNAcentral.